AAGUCGUAACAAGGUCUCCGUUGGUGAACCAGCGGAGGGAUCAUUACCGAGUUUUCAACUCCCAAACCCCAUGUGAACUUAUACCAUUUACAACCGUUGCCUCGGCGGGUUCUCGCCCCGGGCUUUACACCCCGGAACCAGGCGGCCCGCCGGGGGACCCAAACUCUAGAUUUUUAUUUUAGCGUGUCUGAGUGGAAUCAUUACAAAAUGAAUCAAAACUUUCAACAACGGAUCUCUUGGUUCUG
RNAcentral lists this unclassified non-coding RNA (245 nucleotides) under Pochonia chlamydosporia. RNAcentral describes it as "partial internal transcribed spacer region". The stretch from base 1 to 46 matches the Rfam family "Eukaryotic small subunit ribosomal RNA", at positions 1786 to 1831 of the family's 1831-position model. The record is from RNAcentral. Lineage: Eukaryota; Fungi; Ascomycota; Sordariomycetes; Hypocreales; Clavicipitaceae.